CAUUUUUGGGUGACUAUCUCCAUCUUACGAGGCAGCAUUGGAUAUCACUCCUUUCUCUAAUACUGCCUGGUAAUGAUGAUGAUACUCAUCUGC
RNAcentral lists this microRNA precursor (93 nucleotides) under Poecilia formosa (Amazon molly). RNAcentral's name for it is "Danio rerio miR-200b stem-loop (ENSPFOG00000021134.1)". The stretch from base 16 to 83 matches the Rfam family "mir-8/mir-141/mir-200 microRNA precursor family". From Rfam's summary of the family: The bounds of the precursors are predicted based on conservation and base pairing and are not generally known. The record is from RNAcentral. Lineage: Eukaryota; Metazoa; Chordata; Actinopteri; Cyprinodontiformes; Poeciliidae.